This 69-nucleotide transfer RNA is filed under the name Johnius belangerii (Belanger's croaker). RNAcentral's name for it is "tRNA-His". It matches the Rfam family "tRNA". Rfam says of the family: Transfer RNA (tRNA) molecules are approximately 80 nucleotides in length. Their secondary structure includes four short double-helical elements and three loops (D, anti-codon, and T loops). Further hydrogen bonds mediate the characteristic L-shaped molecular structure. tRNAs have two regions of fundamental functional importance: the anti-codon, which is responsible for specific mRNA codon recognition, and the 3' end, to which the tRNAs corresponding amino acid is attached (by aminoacyl-tRNA synthetases). tRNAs cope with the degeneracy of the genetic code in two manners: having more than one tRNA (with a specific anti-codon) for a particular amino acid; and 'wobble' base-pairing, i.e. permitting non-standard base-pairing at the 3rd anti-codon position. RNAcentral also lists the same sequence under 1 other name. Lineage: Eukaryota; Metazoa; Chordata; Actinopteri; Sciaenidae. The record is from RNAcentral.
GUGGACGUAGUUUAGUUAAAACAUUAGAUUGUGAUUCUAGUGACAGGGGUUCAAGUCCCCUUGUUCACC